Non-coding RNA from Aspergillus carlsbadensis, 138 nucleotides. The record is from the annotation of a GenBank genome assembly. Lineage: Eukaryota; Fungi; Ascomycota; Eurotiomycetes; Eurotiales; Aspergillaceae.
GCCUCUAUAGCUCAGUGGUAGAGCGCUUGACGUAUGUUCUGUUCACUUGUCUUGAAUUCUCUUGAAUAUUUUGACUAACAUUAAAUAGUUGUAUCCUGUGAUAUCAAGAGGUCCGUGGUUCAAUCCCGCGUGGAGGCA